AAAAAACGACCUUUCCCGUCGUGGUGGUAGUGGAAGGAGGUCCCAAAGCACAGGAGAAAUUUAAGCGGCUCACGUUACACCGAAUAAAAUGGGAUGAGCAGAAAGGAGAUGGUAAGAAAGUUUUAAAGUAAUCCAAUGACCUAGAAAGAGGCGAGCCCACCGUG
Molecule: long non-coding RNA, 164 nt
Organism: Crotalus tigris (Tiger rattlesnake)
Lineage: Eukaryota; Metazoa; Chordata; Lepidosauria; Squamata; Viperidae
Exons: 2
Source: RefSeq, a predicted model, not a curated record